RNAcentral lists this long non-coding RNA (233 nucleotides) under Jatropha curcas. Its description in RNAcentral is "long non-coding RNA (JCUR_LNC002267)". Lineage: Eukaryota; Viridiplantae; Streptophyta; Magnoliopsida; Malpighiales; Euphorbiaceae. The record is from RNAcentral.
GUUCUAUUGUUUUCUCUCUCUCCAAGAUUUCAAGUAUUCAAGAUUUGUGUCAAGAUUCAAGGAAGCCACCCAAGCUAAUCAUUAACUAGUUUUUAUUUCUAAACUCUUUUCUUGUUCUAUUUUCAAUAUUCAUAUUGAUUAUGAGAAUAUUUACAAGUUUAAUUGAGUUUUAUUUAAUUAUUAUGUUGAACUAAAACUCUCAUACUAGGGAUUUGAUAUAGCUUAAUUUUGAC